GUCCCCUUCGUCUAGAGGCCUAGGACACCGGGUUUUCAUCCCGGCAACAGGGGUUCAAAUCCCCUAGGGGUCACCA
This 76-nucleotide transfer RNA is filed under the name Gammaproteobacteria bacterium. Its description in RNAcentral is "tRNA-Glu". It matches the Rfam family "tRNA". From Rfam's summary of the family: Transfer RNA (tRNA) molecules are approximately 80 nucleotides in length. Lineage: Bacteria; Pseudomonadati; Pseudomonadota; Gammaproteobacteria. The record is from RNAcentral.